RNAcentral lists this ribosomal RNA (253 nucleotides) under uncultured bacterium. RNAcentral's name for it is "partial 16S ribosomal RNA". It matches the Rfam family "Bacterial small subunit ribosomal RNA", at positions 524 to 776 of the family's 1533-position model. The record is from RNAcentral.
UACAGAGGGGGCAAGCGUUAUUCGGAAUUAUUGGGCGUAAAGGGCGCGUAGGCGGCUUUGCAAGUGACGGGUGAAAGCCCUCGGCUUAACCGAGGAACUGCCUGUCAGACUGUAAGGCUUGAGACCGGGAGAGGUGAGUGGAAUUCCCAGUGUAGCGGUGAAAUGCGUAGAUAUUGGGAGGAACACCGGUGGCGAAGGCGGGUCUCUGGGCCGAUAUUGACGCUGAGGAGCGAAAGCGUGGGGAGCAAACAGG